AUCCAACUGACGUGUCCCGAAUAGGACGAAACACGCAUCCUGUAA
Molecule: non-coding RNA, 45 nt
Filed under: Schistosoma margrebowiei
Lineage: Eukaryota; Metazoa; Platyhelminthes; Trematoda; Strigeidida; Schistosomatidae
Source: RNAcentral